GUGACCUCAAAUCAGGUAGGACUACCCGCUGAACUUAAGCAUAUCAAUAAGCGGAGGAAAAGAAACUAACAAGGAUUCCCCUAGUAACUGCGAGUGAAGCGGGAAAAGCUCAAAUUUAAAAUCUGGCGGUCUUUUGGCUGUCCGAGUUGUAAUCUAGAGAAGUGUUAUCCGCG
Molecule: ribosomal RNA, 173 nt
Filed under: uncultured fungus
Lineage: Eukaryota; Fungi
Description: partial 28S ribosomal RNA
Rfam family: Eukaryotic large subunit ribosomal RNA
Source: RNAcentral